UACGUAGGGCGCAAGCGUUGUCCGGAAUUAUUGGGCGUAAAGAGCUCGUAGGCGGCUUGUCACGUCGGGUGUGAAAACUCAGGGCUUAACCCUGAGCGUGCUUCCGAUACGGGCUGACUAGAGGUAUGCAGGGGAGAACGGAAUUCCUGGUGUAGCGGUGGAAUGCGCAGAUAUCAGGAGGAACACCGGUGGCGAAGGCGGGUCUCUGGGCAGUAACUGACGCUGAGGAGCGAAAGCGUGGGGAGCGAACAGG
Molecule: ribosomal RNA, 253 nt
Filed under: uncultured bacterium
Lineage: Bacteria
Description: partial 16S ribosomal RNA
Rfam family: Bacterial small subunit ribosomal RNA
Source: RNAcentral